GCCGCCUCUUGAGAUCCUUGUACGACAAGAACUUGUCCCGCCACUCCGGGAGCGUCUCCACGAUCUGGCUACUCAGGCUCUUCCCAAACUUCAUCCUCAACAACAAGAGAGAAGAAAACUGCACAAAACUGCACUACGGCUGCCAAGAACCGAUCGAAUUCUCGCCGCGGCAGCGGUGGAGGUGGUGGUGAAAUAGGGUUG
This 201-nucleotide unclassified non-coding RNA is filed under the name Hevea brasiliensis (rubber tree). The record is from RNAcentral. Lineage: Eukaryota; Viridiplantae; Streptophyta; Magnoliopsida; Malpighiales; Euphorbiaceae.